Molecule: ribosomal RNA, 499 nt
Filed under: uncultured bacterium
Lineage: Bacteria
Description: partial 16S ribosomal RNA
Rfam family: Bacterial small subunit ribosomal RNA
Source: RNAcentral
AUUGAACGCUGGCGGAAUGCUUUACACAUGCAAGUCGAACGGCAGCACGGACUUCGGUCUGGUGGCGAGUGGCGAACGGGUGAGUAAUAUAUCGGAACGUACCUUAUUGUGGGGGAUAACGCAGCGAAAGCUGUGCUAAUACCGCAUAAUCCCUAAGGGGGAAAGCGGGGGACCGUAAGGCCUCGCGCAAUUAGAGCGGCCGAUACCUGAUUAGCUAGUUGGUGAGGUAAAGGCUCACCAAGGCAACGAUCAGUAGCUGGUCUGAGAGGACGAUCAGCCACGCUGGGACUGAGGCACGGCCCAGACUCCUAAGGGAGGCAGCAGUGGGGAAUUUUGGACAAUGGGGGCAACCCUGAUCCAGCAAUGCCGCGUGAGUGAAGAAGGCCUUCGGGUUGCAAAGCUCUUUUGUCAGGGAAGAAACAGCAGCUCUAACACAGUUUGCGAAUGACGGUACCUGAAGAAUAAGCACCGGCUAACUACGUGCCAGCCGCCGCCGUAA